Ipomoea nil (Japanese morning glory) is the source of this 4027-nucleotide RNA transcript. It is a transcript of the gene named protein transport protein SEC31 homolog B-like, with no coding region annotated. NCBI's taxonomy places the organism in Eukaryota, Viridiplantae, Streptophyta, Magnoliopsida, Solanales, Convolvulaceae. The transcript has 22 exons. The record is from RefSeq and is a predicted model, not a curated record.
UCUCGGACAGGCGAUGAGAGUAACAGACGGGGAGAGAGUGAAAGUGAAAUCGGAAAUCCGUAAAGAAUUUGAAUAAGAGAGAGCAUAAACACUCUCUCUCUCUCUCUCUCUCUCUCUCUCUCUCUCGGGUGCGCCCGAUCCUAUUAAACCCUAAGAUUGGGUUGUGCCAACGGGCACGAAUUUGUAUAGAGUUGGAUAGAUUGGGUGAGGCAUGGCGUUUGUGAAGGUUGUCAAUCGAUCGGCCUCGGCGUCCUUUGCGCCGGAGGGGCCGUACUUGGCGGCCGGGACGAUGGCGGGGGCGGUGGAUCUGUCAUUCAGCUCCUCGGCCAACCUCGACAUUUUCAAGCUCGACUUCGGAUCAGAUGAUCAGCAGCUCAUUUUGGCCGGCUCGGUUACCAGCUCCGAGCGCUUCAACCGGUUGUCUUGGGGGAAGGCUCUUCCGAAUUCCGAGCAGUUUUCUCUCGGGCUCAUCGCGGGUGGGCUUGUUGAUGGCCACAUUGGGCUGUGGAAUCCCAGGCCUCUGAUCUCCUCUGGUGCAAAUCAAACUGGCACUGAAGCUACUGAAAAUGCCUUUGUUGGUCACCUUUCAAAGCAUAGUGGGCCUGUUCAUGGAUUGGAAUUUAAUGCUUUUACUCCGAAUCUCCUUGCUUCUGGUGCUGAUGAAGGUGAAAUUUGUAUAUGGGACAUUUCACGUCCAGCAGAACCAACUCAUUUUCCUCCUCUGAAGGGUAGUGGAUCAUCAACCCAAGUUGAAAUCUCAUAUUUAUCCUGGAAUAGCAAAGUUCAACAUGUGUUGGCUUCUACAUCAUUAAAUGGCACAACUGUGGUUUGGGAUCUUAGGAAGCAGAAGCCGGUCAUAAGUUUUUCAGAUUCUGUUAGAAGACGGUGCUCUGUUUUGCAGUGGCAUCCUGAUUUUGCCACUCAGCUUAUUGUAGCCUCUGAUGAAGAUAGUUCACCUGCACUGAGGAUGUGGGAUAUGCGGAAUGUGAUGUCUCCGGUGAAAGAGUUCGUAGGACAUACUAAGGGUGUCAUUGCAAUGUCUUGGUGUCCAUUUGAUAGCUCCUAUUUGCUUACUUGUGCAAAAGACAAUCGCACUAUAUGCUGGGAUGUUGUUUCUGGUGAGAUUGUCUCUGAACUGCCAGAAGGAACUAAUUGGAAUUUUGAUGUACACUGGUACUCAAAGUGUCCAGGUGUUAUAUUAGCAUCAUCUUUUGAUGGAAAGAUGGGGAUCUAUAAUAUUGAGGGUUGUGGUCGAUGUCGUGCUGAAGAGAGUGCUUCUGGAGCAGGUGCAGCUUCUUUGAGAGCUCCAAAAUGGUACAAACGAAAAUCAGGAGUGUCCUUUGGUUUUGGAGGAAAGCUUGUUUCAUUUCAUUCUACUAAUGCUGACAAACCAUCAGAGGUUUGCAUUCGAAAUGUAGACACUGAACAUGGUUUGGCAAGUCGUUCUUCUGACUUUGAGGCUGCAAUUCAGAAUGGGCAGAGAUCUUCACUUAGGAUUCUCUGUGAAAAAAAAUCUCAGGAAUCAGAAUCUGGUGAUGAAAGGGAAAUAUGGGGCUUCCUGAAGGUUAUGUUUGAAGAUGAUGGGACUGCAAGGACAAAACUACUUUCACACCUUGGUUUCAGUGUGCCUGUAGAAAAAGAGGAUACUACACAGAAUGAGAUUUCUGAGCAAACAUCUGCCCAUGGUAUUGGGGAAAGUCUUGCAGGUGGUAAAGAAGGGGAUAAUGUGAAGAAAGAGACCAUGAUGCAACUUAUUGAUAAUGGGGAGGAUUUCUUCAACAGUCUUCCAAGUCCCAAAACUGAUACUCCUGUGUCAACGUCUGCAAGUAACUUUGCUACUAAUGAAGCUGCCAUGGGUUGGGAGGAAGCCCCACUAGAGAUUAAUGGAGCAGAUGAGAGUGAUGCAUCAUUUGAUGAUGCUGUUCAACGUGUUUUGGUCGUUGGAAACUACAAGGCUGCUGUAGAACUGUGUAUAUCUGCUAAUAAAAUGGCAGAUGCAUUAGUUAUUGCACAUGUUGGUGGUACUUCCCUGUGGGAAAGCACUCGUGAUCAGUACCUGAAGACAAGUCGCUCUUCUUACCUGAAGGUUGUUUUUGCAAUGGUUAACAAUGAUCUCAAAAGCCUUGUGAACAGCAGGCCUUUGAAAUCCUGGAAGGAAACACUUGCUCUCUUUUGCACUUUUGCUCAGCUAGAUGAAUGGACUUUGUUGUGUGACACACUUGCUUCAAGACUCUUUGCUGCUGGUGAAACACUUCCAGCAACACUUUGUUAUAUAUGUGCUGGGAAUAUUGACAAAACAAUAGAGAUAUGGUCAAGGACUUUGGCAGACACGCAUGAUGGAAAAUCAUAUAUAGACCUACUUCAGGAUUUAAUGGAAAAGACUAUAGUAUUUGCAUUGGCGACUGGGCAGAAACGGUUUAGUGCUACACUCUGCAAGCUUGUUGAGAAGUAUGCUGAAAUCUUAGCAAGUCAGGGGCUUUUAACUACAGCCAUGGAGUACUUGAAGCUUCUGGGGACUGAGGAACUGUCUCCUGAACUGAUGAUAUUACGGGAGCGUAUUGCUCAUUCUAUUGAACCAGAUAAGGGCACAGUGAAGUCUAUGGAAUUUGAUAGCUCUCAGAUGCAAACAUGGCCUGCACAAACUCCUGAACAAACAAGUUAUGGCAUGCUUGAUGCAUCUCAACAAUAUUAUCCAGAGCCACAACCGCAGCUCAGGGCAAGUGGUCCUAGCAGUCAAUAUGCUGAUAGUUAUCAGCCCUCUCUUGGUCCUUCAUACAAGGGAUAUGUUCCUCCUGCCCCCUACCAGCAAGCACCACCACAAACUAUCCAACAACCUAAUAUAUUUGUUCCAACACCUGCUCCCCAGAUUUCUGUUUUAUCCCUUGCAGGGAAGUGUUGCCCCACCACCUGUUCAUGCUCAGUCUACUGUGAAACCAUUCGUUCCAACAAACCCCCCUGCUUUGAAACAUGUUGAGCAAUAUCAGCAGCCAACUUUGGGUUCCCAGUUAUACCCUGGAUCAGCUCACCCUACUUAUCCACCUGGUCCUCCUGGGCCUGGCACAUAUGGCUUUAACCCAUCUCCAGUCCAAACUCUUGGGCAGAAGAUGCCCCAGGUUGUUGCACCUUUACCAAGUGCUAGAGGUUUUACUCCAGUCACUGGUCCUGGAGUUCCGAGACCCAGUAUGAGCCCAGUGCACCCUCCCAGCCCUACUCAAGCUACAGUAAUCCAACCUCCUGCAGUUCCUGCCGCUCCUCCACCCACAGUGCAGACAGUUGACACUUCUAAUGUCCCUGGUGAGCAAAAGGCUGUUGUAACAACUUUGACAAGACUCUUCAAUGAGACAUCAGAAGCAUUGGGAGGGCAAAGGGCAAAUCCAGCUAAGAAACGCGAGAUUGAGGAUAAUUCAAGGAAGUUGGGGGCAUUAUUUGCUAAACUUAAUAGUGGGGAUAUAUCAAAGAAUGCUGCAGAAAAGCUUGUACAGCUCUGUCGGGCUUUGGACAAUGGCGACUUCAGUACUGCCCUUCAGAUUCAGGUACUUCUAACAACCAGUGAUUGGGAUGAGUGCAACUUUUGGUUAGCAACACUUAAGCGAAUGAUCAAGAUGAGGCAGAGCUUUAGAUAAAUGUGAUGUGCACUGCCCUCAGACAAAAUUUAGUAUCUAGGUUCUGUUUGGUUUUUGUUUUUAUUUUUAUUUUUUUGCAAUCAUGGGUUUAAGGUAUGUCCACAAGGAUUCAUAAUCGUUAGAUCAUGGGGUUAGGGUUUCUCCUGUCAUCAUGCCCUUUUUUAACCCAAUUUCUGUUUUUGCAUCUAGUGUUUGCAAUUUUGACAAGAGAUUAGAGAAUAUAGCUCACAUUUGAUUGCUUUUGAUUAUAUUUUCCUUACAUUUAAAAUCUCUAGUUGAAAAUAUAGUUUUUUUUUUUUUUUUUUUUUUUUUUUUUUUUUUUUUUUUUUUUUUCAAAAACAGAUUUUUGUUGUAAUUCUUCUGGUCAGAAGUACAAUAUGAGCCAGUGAUGAAAUUUUUACUUU